RNAcentral lists this unclassified non-coding RNA (334 nucleotides) under uncultured Glomeraceae. RNAcentral's name for it is "SSU rRNA". It matches the Rfam family "Eukaryotic small subunit ribosomal RNA", at positions 548 to 886 of the family's 1831-position model. The record is from RNAcentral. Lineage: Eukaryota; Fungi; Glomeromycota; Glomeromycetes; Glomerales; Glomeraceae.
UUGGAGGGCAAGUCUGGUGCCCGCAGCCGCGGUAAUUCCAGCUCCAAUAGCGUAUAUUAAAGUUGUUGCAGUUAAAAAGCUCGUAGUUGAAUUUCGGGGUCAGCAGGCUGGUCGUGCCACUGGUAUGAACUGGUCUCACUGAUUCCUCCUUUCUGAAGAACUGUAAUGUCAUUAAUUUGGUGUUGCAGGGAAACAGGACUGUUACUUUGAAAAAAUUAGAGUGUUUAAAGCAGGCAAUUGCUUGAAUACAUUAGCAUGGAAUAAUGAAAUAGGACGUUCAAACCUAUUUUGUUGGUUUCUAGGAUUGACGUAAUGAUUAAUAGGGAUAGUUGGG